GCCGGAGCGACGAGACAUAAACAUAAAACCCAUUAUAAACGUGAUAUAAACAUGAUUUCUAGUCGUGUUUUCUUUAAGAAGGCAAAAACAAAGUAGUUUCACUUUCUCAACGAAACAAUGUCACACACCACGGCCUUGAGUGAGCAGAGGCCGGAGGCCUAGAUUGAGCCGCGGUCGGCUUGAGUGAGCGGAGGCCGGCUUGAGUGAGCAGAGGCGGGCGGCUUGAGAACGGUGAGGCAGGUGGAUUCUACGAAUGAGCAUACCUUGGUCUUGCAGCAAGCACAUGUGACGACCCCGGGCUGGACUCCGCUUUGUCCAUGGUGAAAGCCGAUUCGGCGAUCCACAGUGCAAAGUUAAUGUUUUUCCUCAGCAAACAGCAUGGAUCAGCUCCAGGCAUGACGAAGCGGAUAUCGUCCUCUUUUGGAAGGCCAAAGUAGUUUCGCUUUCACAGUGAAACACAUAGCGUCUAUACAACAUGGCGGCGGCAACAACAAUGCUACCACGAGAAUAAAAGCUGUGUCCCAGCAUCCCGUGUUAGAUCAUUGUGUUCACGGACGAGUCCGACACAAAGCCGCACAGAGGGAGUCAUCCAGAUUGCAGCAUUAGAGCACCUGCAGAGAUGAAUGAAUCGAGCCUACUUAUUCUAAGACCGGCCACAAUGGGCAGAUUCCAUAGAGGAUUCACUGUAAUCCUGGAGAGGGUCACGGGAUCAGCGCUAUCAAGGCUCAGAGGAAGUCUACUGUACGUUGGAGAUUCUGACAAAUUGGAACAAAAGAGUAAAUAUGAAUUUCUGUCACGUAAAAUGUAAAAUGAGGAAGUAGUAGGCUACUCAAGUCAGUGUGAUCACAUCUGCAAAACUUGCUGCCACAAUGCCUGGGAGUUCUGAGUGUUUCUCAGUAAGUUGCUAGCUGGUUACUUACUGGUCUAAGUCUCUGUGAUGUUCUGGUCUUCAAACAUGACUCGACUCCCUCCUUCUAUGUAAGUAAAUGGAAUAAUUUUGCCUAUUUUAUUGCAUACAGA
Cyprinus carpio carpio is the source of this 1020-nucleotide long non-coding RNA. The record is from Ensembl. Lineage: Eukaryota; Metazoa; Chordata; Actinopteri; Cypriniformes; Cyprinidae.